Molecule: ribosomal RNA, 252 nt
Filed under: uncultured bacterium
Lineage: Bacteria
Description: partial 16S ribosomal RNA
Rfam family: Bacterial small subunit ribosomal RNA
Source: RNAcentral
UACGGAGGAUGCGAGCGUUAUCCGGACUUAUUGGGUUUAAAGGGUGCGUAGGCGGGCUUUUAAGUCAGCGGUAAAAAUUCGGGGCUCAACCCCGUCCGGCCGUUGAAACUGGGGGCCUUGAGUGGGCGAGAAGAAGGCGGAAUGCGUGGUGUAGCGGUGAAAUGCAUAGAUAUCACGCAGAACCCCGAUUGCGAAGGCAGCAUACCGGCGCCCUACUGACGCUGAGGCACGAAAGCGUGGGUAUCGAACAGG